AAAGAAACUAACAAGGAUUCCCCUAGUAACUGCGAGUGAAGCGGGAAAAGCUCAAAUUUGUAAUCUGGCGGCCUCCGCCCGUCCGAGUUGUAAUCUAGAGAAGCGUUAUCCGCGCUGGACCGUGUAUAAGUCUCCUGGAACGGAGCGUCAUAGAGGGUGAGAAUCCCGUCUUUGACACGGACUACCAGGGCUUUGUGAUGCGCUCUCAAAGAGUCGCGUUGUUUGGGAAUGCAGCGCUAAAUGGGUGGUAAAUUCCAUCUAAAGCUAAAUAUUGGCGAGAGACCGAUAGCGAACAAGUACCGUGAGGGAAAGAUGAAAAGAACUUUGGAAAGAGUUAAAAAGUACGUAGAAUUGUUGAAAGGGAAACGCUUAAGUAGUCCGGUACGCCGGGACAUAAGCCUUGCUCUUUUGCUUGGUGUACUUCCCCGCCGAGGCCAGCAUUAGUUUCGACCGGCGGAAAAAGGUCAAGGGAAUGUGGCAUCCUUCGGUGUGUUAUAGCCCUUGGUCAUAUACGACGGUUGGGACUGAGGAACUCAGCACGCCGCAAGGCCGGGUCUUUGACCACGUACGUGCUUAGGAUGCUGGCAUAAUGGCUUUAAUCGACCCGUCUUG
Molecule: ribosomal RNA, 612 nt
Filed under: Lyophylleae sp. CBS 825.87
Lineage: Eukaryota; Fungi; Basidiomycota; Agaricomycetes; Agaricales; Tricholomataceae
Description: eukaryotic LSU rRNA
Rfam family: Eukaryotic large subunit ribosomal RNA
Source: RNAcentral